UGGCGCACGGGUGAGUAACGCGUGGGUAUCUGCCUCGAAGUGGGGGACAACCGCUGGAAACGGCGGCUAAUACCGCAUACGCCCCGAUUGGUAAGACAGUUGGGGGAAAGCUUUAUGCGCUUUGAGAUGAACCCGCGUUGGAUUAGCUAGUUGGUGUGGUAACGGCGCACCAAGGCAGCGAUCCAUAGCUGGUCUGAGAGGAUGAUCAGCCACACUGGGACUGAGACACGGCCCAGACUCCUACGGGAGGCAGCAGUGGGGAAUAUUGGACAAUGGGCGCAAGCCUGAUCCAGCCAUGCCGCGUGAAUGAAGAAGGCCUUAGGGUUGUAAAGUUCUUUCAACGGUGACGAUGAUGACGGUAGCCGUAGAAGAAGCCCCGGCUAACUCCGUGCCAGCAGCCGCGGUAAU
This 408-nucleotide ribosomal RNA is filed under the name uncultured bacterium. RNAcentral's name for it is "bacterial SSU rRNA". It matches the Rfam family "Bacterial small subunit ribosomal RNA", at positions 96 to 524 of the family's 1533-position model. The record is from RNAcentral.